Molecule: non-coding RNA, 449 nt
Organism: Pelobates cultripes (western spadefoot toad)
Lineage: Eukaryota; Metazoa; Chordata; Amphibia; Anura; Pelobatidae
Source: the annotation of a GenBank genome assembly
CCAAGACUUAAAAAAAUCACACCAAUCAUGGCAUACCGUUUGCAAAAGUAGACAACCCAGGGUAUUCAAAAUGGGGUAUGUCCAGUAUUUCUUUGUCAAUCUGUGUUUUUAUUGUGGGUUGAGUCAUAAAAACAAAACACUAUUGUGGUGACAACACCACCUCAAAGCAAGGAGUAGAUAAACAUCAGGAGCGAUAAUAUACAUACAUACCUAUCCUAAUCAAGUAUCGGCACAUAACAUGAACAAGGCUAUGUAAUGGUGUGAUCUGUGGCAUGUCCCACAAUAGACUGGAUGGCCUCAUUUUUUAAGGUCUGGACAAUGUGUAUGGGACCUGCAUGGCACACUAAACACAGAGAUAAGCGACUUUGUAAGAGUAACCAGUGCAGCAGUGUGAGUAAUAAAGUAGGCACAGAGCUCAGUAGUACAGCGGAUACGUGCAGUAUUGCCAU